UAAAAGUUUUAUUUUAGCUUGAAAUAUUAAUUAAUAAUUUUAUUUUAUAUGUAAGUUUUAGCAUAAUUUUAAAUAAAUUUUAAAAAUUUAUAUUUUAUAAAUUAUUCGCAAUUUAAAGUUUUUUAAAUUUAAUAAGUUAAGAUUAAGAAAUUUAUUUUAAUAUUAACAAAAUUUGUGCCAGCAGUUGCGGUUAUACAAAUAAUAUAAUUAAUAUUUAUUAAUUAAUAAUUAAUUGUUUUAAUAAUAAAUAAAAAUUAAAUUUAUUAAGUGAAAUUUUAAAUUUAAUUAAUUUUAUUUAUAAUAUUUUGAAGUUAUUAAAUUUUUAUUUAAACUAGGAUUAGAUACCCUAUUAUUUUAAAUGUAAAUAUAUUAAUAUUAAAUUAGUAAUAGUUAUUUUCUCGAAAAUUAAAAAAUUUGGCGGUAUUUUAGUCUUUUCAGAGGAACCUGUCCUGUAAUUGAUAUUCCACGAUUAUUUUUACUUAUUUUAUUAGUUUAUAUAUCGUCGUAGUUUGAAUAUUUUUAAAGGAUUUUAAUAUUCAAAAUUUAUUAUUAUAAAUUAAAUCAGAUCAAGGUAUAGCUUAUAUUUAAGUAGAGAUGGGUUACAAUAAAUAAAUUUAUAUGAAUUUAAAAUUUAAAAUUUUUAAUGAAAGUGGAUUUGAAAGUAAUAUAAUUUAUUUAAAUUAUAUGAUUUAAGCUCUAAAAUAUGUACAUAUUGCCCGUCGCUUUCAUAUAAAGUGAAAUAAGUCGUAACAAAGUAGAUGUACUGGAAAGUGUAUCUAGAAUGG
Molecule: non-coding RNA, 785 nt
Filed under: Ochthebius griotes
Lineage: Eukaryota; Metazoa; Arthropoda; Insecta; Coleoptera; Hydraenidae
Source: RNAcentral